RNAcentral lists this ribosomal RNA (473 nucleotides) under uncultured bacterium. Its description in RNAcentral is "bacterial SSU rRNA". It matches the Rfam family "Bacterial small subunit ribosomal RNA", at positions 355 to 825 of the family's 1533-position model. The record is from RNAcentral.
UGGGGAAUAUUGCGCAAUGGGCGAAAGCCUGACGCAGCAACGCCGCGUGAGUGAUGAAGGCCUUCGGGUCGUAAAGCUCUGUCGGAGGGAACGAAUGCUCUUGAGGUUAACAGCCUCGGGAGGUGACGGUACCCUCAAAGGAAGCACCGGCUAACUCUGUGCCAGCAGCCGCGGUAAUACAGAGGGUGCAAGCGUUGUUCGGAAUCAUUGGGCGUAAAGGGCGUGUAGGCGGUAUGUUAAGUCAUGUGUGAAAUCCCUCGGCUCAACCGGGGAACGACGCAUGAAACUAGCAAGCUAGAGUACCAAAGAGGGUGGUGGAAUUCCCGGUGUAGCGGUGAAGUGCGUAGAUAUCGGGAGGAACACCUGUGGCGAAGGCGGCCACCUGGUCGGAUACUGACGCUGAGACGCGAAAGCGUGGGGAGCAAACAGGAUUAGAUACCCCCGUAGUCCCUGAGCGGGCUGGCAAGGCGCAU